AGUUCCGAGGUGUCAUCAUGUCAGAUUGCAAAUCUGAAGAAGCAGAUUAGUCGUCUGCCGGGGCUU
RNAcentral lists this transfer RNA (66 nucleotides) under Hemiramphus far (blackbarred halfbeak). Its description in RNAcentral is "tRNA-Cys". Lineage: Eukaryota; Metazoa; Chordata; Actinopteri; Beloniformes; Hemiramphidae. The record is from RNAcentral.